AUUGAACGCUGGCGGCAGGCCUAACACAUGCAAGUCGAACGAGUGGCGGACGGGUGAGUAAUGUCUGGGAAACUGCCUGAUGGAGGGGGAUAACUACUGGAAACGGUAGCUAAUACCGCAUACCAUCAGAUGUGCCCAGAUGGGAUUAGCUAGUUGGUGGGGUAACGGCUCACCAAGGAGACGAUCCCUAGCUGGUAUGAGAGGAUGACAAGCCACACUGGAAAUGAGACACGGUCCAGACUCAGACGGGAGGCAGAAGUGGGGAAUAUUACACAAGGGGCGAAAGCCAGAGACAGCCAUGCCGCGUGUAUGAAGAAGUCCUUCGGGUUGUAAAGGACUUUCAGCGGGGAGGCGUUACCCGCAGAAGAAGCACCGGCUAACUCCGUGCCAGCCGCCGCGGUAAGAC
RNAcentral lists this ribosomal RNA (406 nucleotides) under uncultured bacterium. RNAcentral's name for it is "partial 16S ribosomal RNA". It matches the Rfam family "Bacterial small subunit ribosomal RNA", at positions 29 to 526 of the family's 1533-position model. The record is from RNAcentral.